UGAAUACGAGAUGCUACGGCGCUGAAGCAGUCUAUGUCAUACUUCCAAGAAAAGCUUGCACUGUCACGAACAAAGAAUGCCUGUACCAUAACCGACACAGGUGGGUAGGUAGAGUAUACUAAGGGGCGCGAGAUAACUCUCUCUAAGGAACUCGGCAAAAUGACUCCGUAACUUCGGGAGAAGGAGUGCCUUAUUUUUAAGGUUGCAAUAACAAGAUCCAAGCAACUGUUUACCAAAAACACAGGUCUCCGCUAAGUCGUAAGACGAUGUAUGGGGGCUGACGCCUGCCCAGUGCCAGAAGGUUAAAGAAGUCGGUUAGCGUUCGCGAAGCUGAGAACUGAAGCCCUGGUGAACGGCGGCCGUAACGAUAACGGUCCUAAGGUAGCGAAAUUCCUUGUCGGGUAAGUUCCGACCCGCACGAAAGGCGUAAUGAUUUGGAUACUGUCUCGGAGUGGGGCUCGGUGAAAUAGACUUGUCUGUGAAGAUGCGGACUACCUGCACCUGGACAGAAAGACCCUAUGAAGCUUUACUGUAACUUGAGAUUGAAAUUGGACUUUAUUUGCGCAGUAUAGGUGGGAGGCGUUGAGAAUAAUCUUGCGGGAUUAUUGGAGCCAUCAGUGAGAUACCACUCCUGUAAUGUUAGAUUUCUAACUUUGUAUCAUUCUCUGGUCAAAGAACAGUUUCAGGCGGGCAGUUUGACUGGGGCGGUCGCCUCCCAAAGGGUAACGGAGGCGCACAAAGGUUUCCUCUGAACGGGUAGAAAUCGUAUCUAGAGUGUAAAGGCAUAAGGAAGCUUGACUGUGAGACCUACAAGUCGAGCAGGGACGAAAGUCGGUCUUAGUGAUCUGACGGUGCUGAGUGGAAAGGCCGUCACUCAACGGAUAAAAGUUACUCUAAGGAUAACAGGCUGAUCUCCCCCAAGAGUUCACAUCGACGGGGAGGUUUGGCACCUCGAUGUCGGCUCAUCGCAUCCUGGGGCGGUAGUACGUCCCAAGGGUUGGGCUGUUCGCCCAUGAAAGCGGUACGCGAGCUGGGUUCAGAACGUCGUGAGACAGUUCGGUCCAUAUCCGGUGUAGGCGUUAGAAUAUUGAGAGGAGCCUUCUCUAGUACGAGAGGACCGAGAAGGACAUACCUCUGGUGUACCAGUUAUCGUGCCAACGGUAAACGCUGGGUAGCUAUGUAUGGAGUAGAUAACCGCUGAAAGCAUCUAAGUGGGAAGCCCACCUCAAGAUAAGUAUUCUCA
RNAcentral lists this ribosomal RNA (1243 nucleotides) under metagenome. Its description in RNAcentral is "bacterial LSU rRNA". It matches the Rfam family "Bacterial large subunit ribosomal RNA", at positions 1564 to 2816 of the family's 2925-position model. The record is from RNAcentral.